This 343-nucleotide unclassified non-coding RNA is filed under the name soil metagenome. RNAcentral describes it as "partial contains 5.8S ribosomal RNA, internal transcribed spacer 2, and large subunit ribosomal RNA". The stretch from base 1 to 120 matches the Rfam family "5.8S ribosomal RNA", at positions 35 to 154 of the family's 154-position model. The record is from RNAcentral.
GAUGAAGAACGCAGCGAAAUGCGAUAAGUAAUGUGAAUUUCAGAAUUCAGUGAAUCAUCGAAUCUUUGAACGCACAUUGCGCCCGCCAGCAUUCUGGCGGGCAUGCCUGUUCGAGCGUCAUUUCAACCCUCGAGCCCCCCCGGGGGCCUCGGUGUUGGGGGACGGCACACCAGCCGCCCCCGAAAUGCAGUGGCGACCCCGCCGCAGCCUCCCCUGCGUAGUAGCACACACCUCGCACCGGAGCGCGGAGGCGGUCACGCCGUAAAACGCCCAACUUUCUUAGAGUUGACCUCGGAUCAGGUAGGAAUACCCGCUGAACUUAAGCAUAUCAAUAAGCGGAGGA